Molecule: small nuclear RNA, 104 nt
Organism: Panthera leo (lion)
Lineage: Eukaryota; Metazoa; Chordata; Mammalia; Carnivora; Felidae
Source: Ensembl
GUGCUCGCUUCACCAGCACAUGUAGUAAAAUUGGAACGAUACAGAGAUUAGCACAGCCCCUGCACGAGGAUGACACACAAAUUCAUGAAGAAAAGUCUGAUUAU